RNAcentral lists this ribosomal RNA (733 nucleotides) under uncultured beta proteobacterium. RNAcentral's name for it is "bacterial SSU rRNA". It matches the Rfam family "Bacterial small subunit ribosomal RNA", at positions 29 to 759 of the family's 1533-position model. Lineage: Bacteria; Pseudomonadati; Pseudomonadota; Betaproteobacteria. The record is from RNAcentral.
UUGAACGCUGGCGGCAUGCCUUACACAUGCAAGUCGAACGGUAACAGGUCUUCGGAUGCUGACGAGUGGCGAACGGGUGAGUAAUACAUCGGAACGUGCCCGAGAGUGGGGGAUAACGAAGCGAAAGCUUUGCUAAUACCGCAUACGAUCUCAGGAUGAAAGCAGGGGACCGCAAGGCCUUGCGCUCACGGAGCGGCCGAUGGCAGAUUAGGUAGUUGGUGGGAUAAAAGCUUACCAAGCCGACGAUCUGUAGCUGGUCUGAGAGGACGACCAGCCACACUGGGACUGAGACACGGCCCAGACUCCUACGGGAGGCAGCAGUGGGGAAUUUUGGACAAUGGGCGCAAGCCUGAUCCAGCCAUGCCGCGUGCAGGAUGAAGGCCUUCGGGUUGUAAACUGCUUUUGUACGGAACGAAAAGACUCUGGUUAAUACCUGGGGUCCAUGACGGUACCGUAAGAAUAAGCACCGGCUAACUACGUGCCAGCAGCCGCGGUAAUACGUAGGGUGCGAGCGUUAAUCGGAAUUACUGGGCGUAAAGCGUGCGCAGGCGGUUAUGUAAGACAGAUGUGAAAUCCCCGGGCUCAACCUGGGAACUGCAUUUGUGACUGCGUAGCUAGAGUACGGCAGAGGGGGAUGGAAUUCCGCGUGUAGCAGUGAAAUGCGUAGAUAUGCGGAGGAACACCGAUGGCGAAGGCAAUCCCCUGGGCCUGUACUGACGCUCAUGCACGAAAG